This 455-nucleotide ribosomal RNA is filed under the name uncultured bacterium. Its description in RNAcentral is "bacterial SSU rRNA". It matches the Rfam family "Bacterial small subunit ribosomal RNA", at positions 38 to 483 of the family's 1533-position model. The record is from RNAcentral.
GGCGGCGUGGAUAAGACAUGCAAGUCGAACGGGAGUUUGCUGGUAGCAAUAUUAGUGAAUUCUAGUGGCGAAAGGGUGCGUAACACGUAGCUACCUACCUCGAAGUUGGGGAUAGCUCGGCGAAAGCCGGAUUAAUACCGAAUGUGACUGUAAGGUCAAAGCUGGGGAUUGUAAGACCUGGCGCUUUGAGAUGGGGCUGCGGCCUAUCAGGUUGUUGGCGGGGUAAUGGCCCACCAAGCCUAAGACGGGUAGCUGGUCUGAGAGGACGACCANCCACACUGGAACUGAGACACGGUCCAGACACCUACGGGUGGCAGCAGUCGAGGAUUUUUCUCNAUGGGGGAAACCCUGAAGGAGCGACGCCGCGUGAGGGAUGAAGGUCUUCNGAUUGUAAACCUCUGUCAUCUGGGAACAAUGUGAUCUACCUAACACGUGGAUUAUUGAUAGUACCGGAA